Aegilops tauschii subsp. strangulata is the source of this 1561-nucleotide long non-coding RNA. RefSeq lists it as uncharacterized. The record is from RefSeq and is a predicted model, not a curated record. NCBI's taxonomy places the organism in Eukaryota, Viridiplantae, Streptophyta, Magnoliopsida, Poales, Poaceae.
CAGUACGGUGGUUCCUAUGACUCAACAAAGAAGAAACGAAAACUAUGAAACAACUAUGUCUUUGCACUCCAUAGUCUUCACGUGAAUGUCUUCUCAUGCCAUAAUCUUCACUAUGAAUAACUUCACAGACCACCAUAGUCUUCAAUGUCUUCACACAGUUUUAGGGGUCAUCUCUGGUAGGUAAAUCGAAUCAAUAUGGGACUACUACCUGUGUUAUCCUGCAAUUCUCACAAACACAUUAGUCCCUCAACCAAGUUUGUCGUCAAUACUCCAAAACCAACUAGGGGUGGCACUAGAUGCACUUACAACAUCGCUGUUGUAGACAGUACUAGAUAUUAUACCACAUACACAGUCAUUCUGCUGUUCUGUGUAGGUCGAUAUGUCGCUGAGAUGUCAAUAUAUACUGACAUUAUUGAGCUAUAUGUCUAGUUUCAGCAAGUUUGAGAUAUUGAACAUUUUAACUUGUUGAGGUAACUUAUUAAACUGGGAUCGAACAUUUAGCCUUUCAGUGGCUUGCGAUUUGUUUCACUUAGUUUCAGCUUAGUUGCAUGCUGAAAUAUAAGAUGUUAUUAUAACUAAUAGCUGAGUAUGUUGGUUGUAAUAUCAUCUUAUAUUAUGGGAUGGAGGGAGUAGCUAUGUUAGACUGUAAUAUGUUUGUUCAAUUAAUUAACCUGCUCUCGUCUCAAUUCAUCGACUUACUGGGAUUGAAGAAAUUGAAUGUUCACACUCUGAAAUUAAAUCUGGACUCUUGGGCUACUUCAAAUAAUUUCUCCUAUUGUUGUAGCUAGAAAGUGUAAUAUCAAUUUGUAAUGGACCCAGUGUUUUUCUUCAGAUUGGGACGCUCUACCAUUGGCCUUGGCAUCAACCUUGAUGGAAUGAAGAACAUGCAAUUCCAAGAUUAUAUGGACGAGAAGCUCGACGUCGACAAGAGUGUCAGCCUGGAGCUCUGCAUCCUCCUCUACAUGUAGCAUGGAACCACCAUGGUCGGGUUGCUGAGAAGUGUUGUUGUCUGGUGUGCCUUUGGCGACCAUGGUGCAGAGGCGCUGCCAUCUGUCACGAGUUUGGUCAGCGAUGCAGCUCUGCCUACGACGGCGUUCACUCCCGUGCGGCGCCUCUAGUUGUCGCUUCUUCUUCCACUCCGGAAGAGAUUUUCAAGAAAUUUGGCGAAAGGUUGAAGAUUCUGUUUGGUGCCCAUGUCCUCGUUUGUGUGGGCCUCCCACCGCGCGACGACGGUGCUGUAUGACCUCGGCUACAUCCAUUCUCAUAAUUUGUGGCUUUUGUGUCUAGAACGACGACAAUGAUGGUUGUGGAAUGUUGGAUGACUUCCAGGCACAUGCUCACUGGUGCAAUCAGGAGCAACUGGUUCGGUGCCGAAGAAGCAAAGAUAUCAUUGUUGAAGCAGCGCCUUGAAAGCGCUGGAAGAGACAGUCUUAGAAGAUUAUUUAUCAUGGCUUGUUUGAGGAGAGAUGAAGCUGGCUCCCUCCUGGUGGCAGCAGUUCCCCAGGUGCUGGACCAUUGACAUCAUCUGCUUGUUCUUCUCCUUCCUACUCUGCCACAUGGA